AGACAUAAACAUUUUCUAAUAACUCAAGCUUUCAAUAACAACCUGCUAUGUGUUGCCAGGGUCUUGGAGAAAACCAAAGACAAAGGAACCAUCUUCUUCCCUGAGGUCAACAAUGGAAGGAGAUGUAGAAGACACCAAAACAAGAACUCGGCAGGCUCAGGACAUGACAACGGAGACACAGUUUACAGGACCUCAUUCGCACUCCAAUGACAAUGAAAGGAAGGGGGUGUUGGGCAGAGAAGCAAAGAGCUCCGGUUCUCACCAUCACACGGUAGCGG
RNAcentral lists this long non-coding RNA (278 nucleotides) under Gorilla gorilla gorilla (western lowland gorilla). RNAcentral's name for it is "lncRNA (ENSGGOG00000044290.1)". The record is from RNAcentral. Lineage: Eukaryota; Metazoa; Chordata; Mammalia; Primates; Hominidae.